AUUCUGUAUAGCUUUUUGAUUUAUUUUUUAAAAGAGUAAUAUUUGAUAGAUAAGAAGCGUCAUCAAAUAUCCAGAAGGAUUAAUACCAUAUUCUACAUUAAAGUCGUUUUUUCAAAAUAAGAUAAAUUAUUUUAUAGAUGAAAUAUACUAUUCUACUGAAUUGUGAAUUGCAACUCUUUUUAGAAAAGGAGUAAAAAUUAAACUACUAGCUUCUGAUCAUGCAAGAAAAUUUUUGUAUCAAAUAAGUUAUCACUUUAUUUCUUAUUUCGAUAUUCGAAUCACUACAACAGAAUUAGGUUAUGGGGACACAUGUUUGGGACACUUUUGAGUAAGUGUCCCAUUUAUACUAAAACUUAAAAAAAUAUCUACUUAUGCCGAAAUAUAAAGCCCAAUCCAACUAAAAAUAAAAAAUUACUUUAUUAAACCCACCACACCCAGUCCAUUUGACCCGAUUACAAACAGAAAAGAAAAAAAAAAAAGAAAAAUCAAUUACCAUCUUUUCUUCUCUAUUCACUCAAUCCACUGGAAUUCUAGACGAAGAGCAUUUCCUGUCGUCCUCCUCCGCCACCGCAGCCAACGAGAUAGAGUUUCGGCGGUUGCUAAAUGCUUAAAUAAGUGUUGGUAAAUUAGCAGCACUCUUUUAGGUUAUAGCGACACUCUUUAACUGUCACUAUAUACCUAGCGACCCCAUAUAUAGCAACACUUUUUAAAAAUGUCGGUAAUUUUAGCUAGCAGCACUUUUUUGACAUGUACCUACAUUUAAAAGUGUCGCUAUAGACCGUUUUUGUUGUAGUGAAUAUAUAAGGCCUAAGUGAAACUGCAGUCUCUAUGGUAACAACUUACGCUUUUAGACUAC
RNAcentral lists this long non-coding RNA (856 nucleotides) under Ananas comosus (pineapple). RNAcentral's name for it is "long non-coding RNA (ACOM_LNC032428)". Lineage: Eukaryota; Viridiplantae; Streptophyta; Magnoliopsida; Poales; Bromeliaceae. The record is from RNAcentral.